UUGAAGCCUCAAGCCCCUCUCCUCCUUCAAACCCUCUUCUUCUCUCUCUUCUCUCUUCUUCUUCCCUCUCUCUGCCUUGAAAGUAAAAAAAGUCUCAGAGCCAUGGACCAACACAAGACCAAAGAAACUUUAAAACUCCUCUGUAGCUAUGGCGGGAAAAUCCUCCCACGUCACACCGACGGUAAUCUCCGUUACGUCGGUGGCCUCACUCGUGUUCUCGCCGUAGAUGCCUCCAUUUCCUUUGCAGAGCUAAUGGUGAAGCUCGCGGAGUUCUGUGGCUACUCUGUGGAUUUGAGGUGUCAAUUGCCGGGUGGAGACUUGGAGACCUUGAUUUCGGUCAAGUCCGAAGAGGAGUUAGCUAAUAUCAUCGAAGAGUACGAUCGAGCUUCUUCUUCGUCUCGUCCUCUAAAGAUCAGAGCCAUUCUCUCGCCGUCGAAAUCGCUGAAGCAAAUCUCGCCUCCUAUGUCUAUGGCUACGAGCGGCGGCGAUUCGUCCCCUUCGAAAUCGCUUUUAUCGUUCACCGAUUCGCCUCCGAAACGGUAUGUUUCGCCUCUGAAAGGGUAUGUUUCGCCUCCGAAACGGUACGCUUCGCCGCCGAUUGUACAUCCCGGGCCAGUCAGGUUUCAGAAAGGGUCCGGACGUGUUUGCUACUAUCCUUGCCAUGUCCAGAGCAACCCCAGCGACAUGUCGUAUCUUCCUCCUCCUCAUCAUCAACAUCACCAUCGUCAUCAACACGUUCCUCACUGCAAUGACUGGCGUUGAGAUUCGAAGCCCUAACUUCUAGGAGCUUCACACAAAGAAUAUCGCUGAUGACGGAAAAAAUUUAAUCAAAAACUUAAAAAACAAAAUAGAAAACAAAUACAAGGGUGAAAUUUUGUGAUUGGUUGUGAAAUGAAGGAUUUUCCUUUUUUCCUUUUAUUUUUUCAUUUUUUUCGAGGUGGUAUAAUGACAAAAAUUCAUUGCUUGAAUUUGUGUCGCCGUGAAUUCUGGUACAACUUUUAUCGUUCGGGAUUCCGUUAGUCGCCGUUAAGCCAGCGCUGUACACUGUCCAGCAUGCGUGCCACGUAGCGUAAAUAGGUGGUGGUUGCAUUUGGCAUCAGAAUUAGAUGCCGUUUCGGAUGGGGCCCGCGAGGAAUAUUAUAAAAUAAAACGCUUAUGCGUUGAACUUUUGGACCUUCUCCCAUAAGACUAAAAAAAAGUCUUAAAAGGCCGCCAGCUUGGUCUGAAAUUAAGUAAAAAAAAAUUAAAGACGAAUUAUUAUGGCCUUAAAAAUAGAAUUAAUAAUUAAUUAUGAGAUGUGACCUUCCUAGUGGCUACCUACUAGGCCACUGGUAAACAAAGAAUAGACCAGAAGAAGGACGAAUAUUUUCUAACUUGCCUUACCCUCAGGGUUGGCCAGUUGGUGCCUGAUGGAUCAUCCUAGGAAGUAAGGAGGAAUGACUUUUAUAAAGGGCAAACUUUGAAUGCUUCUUAGACAA
Non-coding RNA from Prunus avium (sweet cherry), 1478 nucleotides. The record is from RefSeq and is a predicted model, not a curated record. NCBI's taxonomy places the organism in Eukaryota, Viridiplantae, Streptophyta, Magnoliopsida, Rosales, Rosaceae.